CUUUACUGUAACUUGAAAUUGAAAUUGGACUUUAUUUGCGCAGUAUAGGUGGGAGGCAGUGAGAAAAAUCUUGCGGGAUUUUUGGAGCCAUCAGUGAGAUACCACUCUUGUAAUGUUAGAUUUCUAACUUUGUAUCAUUAUCUGGUCAAAGAACAGUUUCAGGCGGGCAGUUUGACUGGGGCGGUCGCCUCCUAAACGGUAACGGAGGCGCACAAAGGUUUCCUCUGAACGGGUAGAAAUCGUAUCUAGAGUGUAAAGGCAUAAGGAAGCUUGACUGUGAGACCUACAAGUCGAGCAGGGACGAAAGUCGGUCUUAGUGAUCUGACGGUGCUGAGUGGAAAGGCCGUCACUCAACGGAUAAAAGUUA
This 367-nucleotide ribosomal RNA is filed under the name uncultured organism. RNAcentral's name for it is "bacterial LSU rRNA". It matches the Rfam family "Bacterial large subunit ribosomal RNA", at positions 2099 to 2465 of the family's 2925-position model. The record is from RNAcentral.